GGGGGUGAUCUGGAUUCGACCGGAUGUCAAGAAGCGAGAGUUGCGUGUCGUGGUUGAUCAGUUGGCCACGUAAAAAGCUGAUCAAAACUUUUAGUUGCAAAUGAAAAUUUGUCACUGGCUGCCUAAUUAAAGGCUGCCCGGACUGAGGGGGGCUGCCGAAGUCGCCCGAAUGUCCGUCACAAUUUCGGAUCGCCCACCGUCCUACUCGAGACGCGGUGGGUUAAACAAGAUUCGAGUUAGUGAGUUGCGGAGCCUGUCGAGCAGCGCCGCGACGAGCGAAAAGGUUUCUUCGAGAAACUGAAAUAGUUCGACUACACACGUAGACGCUGUCGUGGAUGCAUCGCGGGACGCGGGUUCAAUUCCCGCCGCCUCCACUA
This 377-nucleotide transfer-messenger RNA is filed under the name Pirellulaceae. RNAcentral's name for it is "K23-9 sp013002105 Standard tmRNA". It matches the Rfam family "transfer-messenger RNA". From Rfam's summary of the family: Bacterial tmRNA, also known as 10Sa RNA or SsrA, is named for its dual tRNA and mRNA-like properties. Its role is to liberate the mRNA from a stalled ribosome. Lineage: Bacteria; Pseudomonadati; Planctomycetota; Planctomycetia; Pirellulales. RNAcentral also lists the same sequence under 1 other name. The record is from RNAcentral.